This 426-nucleotide ribosomal RNA is filed under the name uncultured bacterium. RNAcentral describes it as "partial 16S ribosomal RNA". It matches the Rfam family "Bacterial small subunit ribosomal RNA", at positions 354 to 796 of the family's 1533-position model. The record is from RNAcentral.
GUGGGGAAUAUUGCGCAAUGGGGGAAACCCUGACGCAGCAACGCCGCGUGAGUGAUGAAGGCUUUCGAGUCGUAAAACUCUGUCUUUGGGGACGAAUAAUGACGGUACCCAAGGAGGAAGCCCCGGCUAACUACGUGCCAGCAGCCGCGGUAAUACGUAGGGGGCGAGCGUUGUCCGGAAUCACUGGGCGUAAAGGGCGCGUAGGCGGUUUGUUAAGUCAGGUGUGAAAGUUUUCAGCUUAACUGGAAAAGUGCACUUGAAACUAACUUACUUGAGUACUGGAGAGGUAAGCGGAAUUCCUAGUGUAGCGGUGAAAUGCGUAGAUAUUAGGAAGAACACCGGUGGCGAAGGCGGCUUACUGGACAGAGACUGACGCUGAGGCGCGAAAGCGUGGGGAGCGAACAGGAUUAGAAACCCGAGUAGUCC